Molecule: long non-coding RNA, 223 nt
Filed under: Physcomitrium patens
Lineage: Eukaryota; Viridiplantae; Streptophyta; Bryopsida; Funariales; Funariaceae
Description: long non-coding RNA (PPAT_LNC006503)
Source: RNAcentral
GAGGCUAUCCGGGGCCAUAUUAGGAAUUAGGGUUAGUUAUUUGGAGCCAUUUGAGCUUUGAAGACUAGAUUCAACAAGUUUAGGUUUUUGGCUAUGGUUUUGGUAUAAGUUUUAUAUGGUUUGGAGUUUAUAUGAAGGAAAUAUAGGCACUCAAAGUUAAGGUGUUGAUUUGGGAGCUAUUGUCACUCUUUUUGGCAUAAUGCACGCAUAUAGAAGGAAAUUG